Molecule: ribosomal RNA, 253 nt
Filed under: uncultured bacterium
Lineage: Bacteria
Also listed under: 1 other name
Description: partial 16S ribosomal RNA
Rfam family: Archaeal small subunit ribosomal RNA
Source: RNAcentral
UACCAGCACCUCGAGUGGUCAGGACGUUUAUUGGGCCUAAAGCAUCCGUAGCCGGCUCUGCAAGUCUUCGGUUAAAUCCACCUGCUCAACAGAUGGGCCGCUGGAGAUACUACAGAGCUAGGGAGUGGGAGAGGCAGACGGUAUUCAGUGGGUAGGGGUAAAAUCCUCUGAUCCAUUGAGGACCACCAGUGGCGAAGGCGGUCUGCCAGAACACGUUCGACGGUGAGGGAUGAAAGCUGGGGGAGCAAACCGG